GCGCGAUUAGCUCAGCGGUUAGAGCACUUGCUUCACACGCAAGGGGUCCGGGAUUCGAUCUCCCGAUCGCGCACCA
This 76-nucleotide transfer RNA is filed under the name Verrucomicrobiota bacterium. RNAcentral describes it as "Verrucomicrobia bacterium (rhizosphere metagenome) tRNA-Val". It matches the Rfam family "tRNA". Rfam says of the family: Transfer RNA (tRNA) molecules are approximately 80 nucleotides in length. Their secondary structure includes four short double-helical elements and three loops (D, anti-codon, and T loops). Further hydrogen bonds mediate the characteristic L-shaped molecular structure. tRNAs have two regions of fundamental functional importance: the anti-codon, which is responsible for specific mRNA codon recognition, and the 3' end, to which the tRNAs corresponding amino acid is attached (by aminoacyl-tRNA synthetases). tRNAs cope with the degeneracy of the genetic code in two manners: having more than one tRNA (with a specific anti-codon) for a particular amino acid; and 'wobble' base-pairing, i.e. permitting non-standard base-pairing at the 3rd anti-codon position. Lineage: Bacteria; Pseudomonadati; Verrucomicrobiota. The record is from RNAcentral.